GGUACGGUAUGAUACUGUACCGAAAAGUACGGUAUACCGAAAAUUCGUUAUUUUUUCGGUACGGUAAGUGCAGUAUUUCGGUAUUUCGGUAUAUUUUCCCAGCCCUAGAUAUUCUUGUCUAUCCUUUAUGUAAGUAACCUUCCCACACCUCUUAUUUGUCCGAUUUCAUACUUAAUUGAAAGCUAGGAUUUAGAUUCAAGCUCUUCCCCAAUUUGAAUUUAAGUAAAAGUAGGUGUAAAUCUAAUGUUUUGAUGGCUUGAUAGUUUCCAAAGCCUACUUUAAGGAGUGUUUGGAAUGGAAUAGUUGGACUUGGUGUUUGAAUGUAGGGAUAACAUAGAGUUCUUCAAUGGGGAUUUGGAAGCUUGCUUUGCUAAUUUGAUUUAGCUUGGGUAUUUACUUUACUUGCAUAAUAUAUGUCUGGAUUGUGAGAAAAAUACAUUUUUGGUAUAUGAUGUUUAGAGAAUUAAUUAUAAUGAAUUGAACAUGAAAUUCUAAUGAAAUUAAUGGGAUGAUUAGAGUAUAUAGUUGAUUAUCUUAGAUAGUAAGAUUUUGGAGGUUGCAAACAGAAAUUAUGUUGUGGUGGAAGAAACGAAGGAGACAGUAUUUUGUAUGUUCUGGCCGAAUUUGUCAACUCCAGUUUAACCAAGUAAACGAUUUCAUUUUCUAGCGAAAUUUGAACUGAGCAUACUUUUAUGUGUCUUCUGCUAUGUGGCCAAAAUUCAGCUUCAACCGAAUUGAAAUGAAUUUAUAAUGAAUUUUGUUAGGGGACUGUGCUGUUCAGCUAGGUUUGUGUAAAAUAGACAUUUAUGGCUUUUAUUUUCAUCUGGAUUAUGUUGAAUUUUGACUACUUGGUUGUCCGGAUUAGUACUUGUUCUGUAAAAAUCUUAAGCCAUGACUAAAGUUGAAAUGCUUAUGUUUUAACCUCUUUCUUUUGAAUAAGUGUAUGAAGAUGUGAUUGUUAAUGUGAAUCUGAAGGGAGAGAUAGUAGUUUUGACUAGUCUAAUGUCUUGUGGGAUAUAUGCAUAAAUAUUAUGAAACUAAGUUAGAAGAUAAUGGUUAGUAGAUAAACAUUAAUAGCAUGGAUUAAGUGCAUAAAUGGAUUUAUUUGAUAACAAUAUGAAUUUGGUAAUUUUAUGUGAAUGUGAAAUAUACAAUGGGAGGUAAUGGGACAUAACAAGGACACGGGGAAGGAGUAGGAAUAAAGUGAUUUGUAUGUCAAAGGUGUCUGGGAUUAAUAGGAGUUGUAUAUGAUGAAGAAAUAAGUCAAGACGCUUCUCUGCAUUAGUUGGAAAGGGAGAUAGUAUGUGUUUGUGUGUCUAUGUGAAUAGUAAAUGAAACAUAUGAUAUUAAAUGGGUUAUAUGCGGAUUUUAUGAAGAUAAUUGUUUGAAUUGAAUCAUAGUCAAUAAUUAAAUGGUAAUGAUAUUUUGUAAAUUGGAGUGCAUUUAAAUAUGGUUGUGUCCCAUGCUUGGUUCAUUUAGUGUGCAUAAUUGGUAUGUCAUACUACUGCGGUGGUGCUACAUAAAAUAAUAUAAAAAUAGAUAUUCCCCAUAUAGGGACUAUACGAUAUGACAUGGCUUUCGCCCUAUAAGGGCUAUAUGCGCCCGCUAUUGGGCUAUAUGAUAUGACGUGGCUUUCGCCCUAUACGGGCUACAUGCGCCCGCUAUUUGGGCUAUAUGGUAUGACGUGGCUUUCGCCCUAUACGGGCUAUAUGCGCCCGCUAUUUGGGCUAUAUGGUAUGACAUGGCUUUCGCCUUAUAAGGGCUAUAAGUGCUUGCUAUUGGACUAAAUGGUUAUUGUUGCGUACCCAUAUUUAUUACUGAACAUGUUAAUCGAUUUUAUGUGACUUCAUGCUCGGAUAUAGGUGCAAUAUGUGUGACAAGCAAUGACUGUGGGAUAUUGUUGAGAAUAAUAUAUAUGUCGUGUGAGUCAAUGUUGUACUAUUCGAUCCAACUAGUGCGGAUACAUACAUAUUUUUAAGUAAAUUUGUUAUGAUAUUUUUUAUGAGUGUAAAUUGAUUUUUAAAUUACCACGAUUUAUAGUAUCAGAACUGCAAUGUUAUCUAUUUAAUUGGUUGUAAAUUGAGUAGAGGACGUUACAAACACGAAGGUUGGGCUGCCAGAAUUGCACAACAUGCUUAAGUCUUAUGAGUCUUCCACUGCUAAAGUCAAAUUUGUGCUCAUGGUGAGCUCUUCUGCGAAAUCUUCAAAAUGGAAGAACAAGCAACAACAGAAGAAGAAAGCAUCUAAGGAUGUUGUUCUAAAGAUUAAGAGUGGAGAGGCUAAGAAGAAGUCGAAAUUAUUAAAGGAUGAGUGUCUUUUCUGUCAUGAGAACUGGAAGAGAGACUGUCCAAAAUUCAAGGCACUAGGUGCAGAAAGUGGGAGCUCAGGAUCUAAGUGACAGCAGGAAAGUGAGGCCUGAGGAAGUUGACUUGCGUGUUGGAAAUGGAGCAAGAGUUGCUGCCGAAUGCGUGGGGACUUAUAGAUUGGAUCUUCCCUUGGGACAUAGACUAGAAUUGUUCAAUUGUUAUUUCGUUCCAGUUAUUUCUAAGAAUAUUAUUUCCAUUCCGAUGUUAGACAUUGAAGGUUUUUCCUUCCAUUUUACAAACAACAGAUGCUCGUUUUCUUUUAA
Salvia splendens (bonfire salvia) is the source of this 2629-nucleotide long non-coding RNA. RefSeq lists it as uncharacterized. The record is from RefSeq and is a predicted model, not a curated record. NCBI's taxonomy places the organism in Eukaryota, Viridiplantae, Streptophyta, Magnoliopsida, Lamiales, Lamiaceae. The transcript is spliced from 2 exons.